GGGUUUGGGUAGGGGAGCGUCCUGUGCGAGGUGAAGCUGCCGGGUGACCGUGUGGUGGAUUGUGCGGGAGUGAGAAUGCAGGCAUGAGUAGCGAAUGACGGGUGGAAAACCCGUCCGCCGAUUAUCCAAGGGUUCCAGGGUCAAGUUAAUCUGCCCUGGGUGAGUCGGGACCUAAGGCGAGGCCGACAGGCGUAGUCGAUGGACAACCAGUUGAUAUUCUGGUACCGGCUUGUCACCGUCCGUGUCGAGGUGUGUGAUGCUAAGCGUGCGAGCCUGCCAUUGUGAUGUCUUUGAUGUUGUGGUGGUGUGGUGAGUGUGUGAACCGAUCAUGUAGUAGGCAAGCUGCGGAGGGACGCAGGGAGGUAGCUCAUCCCCGGCGAUGGUUGUCCGGGGCUAAAUGUGUGGACCGUCUGGUAGGUAAAUCCGCCAGGGUUGUGGUUGAGGCAUGAUGGCGAGCCCACGGAAAGUGGGUGAGUGAGUGAUCCUGUACUGUCGAGAAAAUCUUCGUGAGCGAGGUGGCUGGUCCGCCCGUACCCUAAACCGACACUGGUGGAUAGGUAGAGUAUACCGAGGCGAUCGAGAUCAUCAUGGUGAAGGAACUCGGCAAAAUGCCCCCGUAACUUCGGGAUAAGGGGGACCUGAACUGUCAAGGCCUGUACGGCUGGUAGCGGUGAGGGGCGCAGAGACCAGGGGGAAACGACUGUUUACCAAAAACACAGGUCCGUGCGAAGUCGUAAGACGAUGUAUACGGACUGACUCCUGCCCGGUGCUGGAAGGUUAAGGGGAACUGUUAGCGUUGGCGAAGCGGUGAACUUAAGCCCCAGUAAACGGCGGUGGUAACUAUAACCAUCCUAAGGUAGCGAAAUUCCUUGUCGGGUAAGUUCCGACCUGCACGAAUGGAGUAACGAUUUCCCUACUGUCUCCACCAUGAACUCGGUGAAAUUGCAGUACGAGUAAAGAUGCUCGUUACGCGCAGCAGGACGGAAAGACCCCGGGACCUUUACUAUAGUUUGGUAUUGGUGAUUGGGACGACUUGUGUAGGAUAGGUGGGAGACUGUGAAGCGGCCACGCCAGUGGUUGUGGAGUCAUUGUUGAAAUACCACUCUGGUCGUUCUGGUUAUCUAACUUUGGGCCGUGAUCCGGUUCAGGGACAGUGCCUGAUGGGUAGUUUGACUGGGGCGGUCGCCUCCUAAAAGGUAACGGAGGCGCCCAAAGGUUCCCUCAUCCUGGUUGGUAAUCAGGUGUCGAGUGUAAGUGCACAAGGGGGCUUGACUGUGAGACUGACAGGUCGAGCAGGGACGAAAGUCGGGACUAGUGAUCUGACGGUGGCUUGUGGACGCGCCGUCACUCAACGGAUAAAAGGUACCCCGGGGAUAACAGGCUGAUCUUGCCCGAGCGCUCAUAGCGACGGCAUGGUUUGGCACCUCGAUGUCGGCUCGUCGCAUCCUGGGGCUGGAGUCGGUCCCAAGGGUUGGGCUGUUCGCCCAUUAAAGCGGCACGCGAGCUGGGUUCAGAACGUCGUGAGACAGUUCGGUCCCUAUCCGCUGCGCGCGGAGGAAUCUUGAGAAGGGCUGUCCUUAGUACGAGAGGACCGGGACGGACUGACCUCUGGUGUGCCAGUUGUUCUGCCAAGGGCAUGGCUGGUUGGCUACGUCGGGUUGUGAUAACCGCUGAAAGCAUCUAAGCGGGAAGCACGCUUCAAGAUGAGGGUUCCUGCAGAUGAAUCUGGUAAGGUCUCCGGUAGACGACCGGGUUGAUAGGCCAGGCGUGGACGCAUCGUAAGGUGUGGAGCUGACUGGUACUAAUAGGCCGAGGACUUACACAA
This 1825-nucleotide ribosomal RNA is filed under the name Klebsiella michiganensis. RNAcentral describes it as "partial 23S ribosomal RNA". It matches the Rfam family "Bacterial large subunit ribosomal RNA", at positions 1220 to 2925 of the family's 2925-position model. Lineage: Bacteria; Pseudomonadati; Pseudomonadota; Gammaproteobacteria; Enterobacterales; Enterobacteriaceae. The record is from RNAcentral.